UACGUAGGGGGCUAGCGUUGUCCGGAAUCAUUAGGCGUAAAGCGCGCGUAGGCUGCCCGGUAAGUCCGCUGUAAAAGUCAAAGGCUCAACCUUUGAAAGCCGGUGGAUACUGUCGGGCUAGAGUCCGGAAGAGGCGAGUAGAAUUCCUGGUGUAGCGGUGGAAUGCGUAGAGAUCCGGAGGAACACCGAAGGCGCAAGCAGCACCCUGGCCGAGGACUGACACUGAGGGACGAAAGUAUGGGGAGCAAACAGG
Molecule: ribosomal RNA, 253 nt
Filed under: uncultured bacterium
Lineage: Bacteria
Description: partial 16S ribosomal RNA
Rfam family: Bacterial small subunit ribosomal RNA
Source: RNAcentral